UACGGAGGGAGCGAGCGUUAAUCGGAAUUACUGGGCGUAAAGCGCGCGUAGGCGGCUUUGUAAGUCGGAUGUGAAAGCCCUGGGCUCAACCUGGGAAUGGCAUUCGAUACUGCAGAGCUAGAGUAUGGUAGAGGGAAGUGGAAUUUCCGGUGUAGCGGUGAAAUGCGUAGAUAUCGGAAGGAACACCGGUGGCGAAGGCGACUUCCUGGGCCAAUACUGACGCUGAGGCGCGAAAGCGUGGGUAGCAAACAGG
This 253-nucleotide ribosomal RNA is filed under the name uncultured bacterium. RNAcentral describes it as "partial 16S ribosomal RNA". It matches the Rfam family "Bacterial small subunit ribosomal RNA", at positions 524 to 776 of the family's 1533-position model. The record is from RNAcentral.